Molecule: ribosomal RNA, 758 nt
Filed under: bacterium
Lineage: Bacteria
Description: bacterial SSU rRNA
Rfam family: Bacterial small subunit ribosomal RNA
Source: RNAcentral
AGAAUGGGGGCGUGCUAUACUGCAAGUCGAGCGGACAGAUGGGAGCUUGCUCCCUGAUGUUAGCGGCGGACGGGUGAGUAACACGUGGGUAACCUGCCUGUAAGACUGGGAUAACUCCGGGAAACCGGGGCUAAUACCGGAUGGUUGUUUGAACCGCAUGGUUCAAACAUAAAAGGUGGCUUCGGCUACCACUUACAGAUGGACCCGCGGCGCAUUAGCUAGUUGGUGAGGUAACGGCUCACCAAGGCAACGAUGCGUAGCCGACCUGAGAGGGUGAUCGGCCACACUGGGACUGAGACACGGCCCAGACUCCUACGGGAGGCAGCAGUAGGGAAUCUUCCGCAAUGGACGAAAGUCUGACGGAGCAACGCCGCGUGAGUGAUGAAGGUUUUCGGAUCGUAAAGCUCUGUUGUUAGGGAAGAACAAGUACCGUUCGAAUAGGGCGGUACCUUGACGGUACCUAACCAGAAAGCCACGGCUAACUACGUGCCAGCAGCCGCGGUAAUACGUAGGUGGCAAGCGUUGUCCGGAAUUAUUGGGCGUAAAGGGCUCGCAGGCGGUUUCUUAAGUCUGAUGUGAAAGCCCCCGGCUCAACCGGGGAGGGUCAUUGGAAACUGGGGAACUUGAGUGCAGAAGAGGAGAGUGGAAUUCCACGUGUAGCGGUGAAAUGCGUAGAGAUGUGGAGGAACACCAGUGGCGAAGGCGACUCUCUGGUUUGUAACUGACGCUGAGGAGCGAAAGCGUGGGGGAGCGAAACA